GUAGGUGGCAAGCGUUGUCCGGAAUUAUUGGGCGUAAAGCGCGCGCAGGCGGUCCUUUAAGUCUGAUGUGAAAGCCCACGGCUCAACCGUGGAGGGUCAUUGGAAACUGGGGGACUUGAGUACAGAAGAGGAAAGCGGAAUUCCAAGUGUAGCGGUGAAAUGCGUAGAAAUUUGGAGGAACACCAGUGGCGAAGGCGGCUUUCUGGUCUGUAACUGACGCUGAGGCGCGAAAGCGUGGGGAGCAAACAGGAUUAGAUACCCUGGUAGUCCACGCCGUAAACGAUGAGUGCUAAGUGUUAGGGGGUUUCCCGCCCCCCUUAGUGCUGCAGCUAACGCAUUAAGCACUCCGCCUGGGGGAGUACGGCCGCAAGGCUG
Molecule: ribosomal RNA, 375 nt
Filed under: uncultured organism
Description: partial 16S ribosomal RNA
Rfam family: Bacterial small subunit ribosomal RNA
Source: RNAcentral